AACGAACGCUGGCGGCGCGUUUUAAGCAUGCAAGUCGAACGGUAAUAGAGUGCUUGCACUCUAUGAGAGUGGCGAACGGGUGAGUAACACGUAGGUGAUCUAUCUUGAGGUCUGGGAUAGCCUGUGGAAACACAGGGUAAUACCGGAUAAGACCUGUAGACUGCGGUCUAUGGGGGAAAGGCGCUUAGGCGGUGCCUUAAGCUGAGCCUGCGGCUCAUUAGUUAGUUGGUGGGGUAAUGGCCUACCAAGGCGACGAUGAGUAGCCGGCCUGAGAGGGUGAUCGGCCACACUGGGACUGAGACACGGCCCAGACUCCUACGGGAGGCUG
This 328-nucleotide ribosomal RNA is filed under the name uncultured Spirochaetota bacterium. RNAcentral describes it as "bacterial SSU rRNA". It matches the Rfam family "Bacterial small subunit ribosomal RNA", at positions 29 to 351 of the family's 1533-position model. The record is from RNAcentral. Lineage: Bacteria; Pseudomonadati; Spirochaetota.